RNAcentral lists this ribosomal RNA (433 nucleotides) under uncultured bacterium. RNAcentral's name for it is "partial 16S ribosomal RNA". It matches the Rfam family "Bacterial small subunit ribosomal RNA", at positions 29 to 507 of the family's 1533-position model. The record is from RNAcentral.
AACGAACGCUGGCGGCAUGCCUAACACAUGCAAGUCGAACGAGACCUUCGGGUCCUGUGGCGCCUGGGUUCGUAACCCGUGGGAACCUUCCCUUAGGUUCGGAAUACCUCCCCGAAAGGGGUGACAAUACGGGAUAAUGUCUUCUAACCAAAGAUUUAUUGCGUUUGGAUGGGCACGCGUUGGAUUAGCUAGUUGGUAGGGUAAAAGCAUACUACGGCGCGAAUCCAUAGCUUGUAUCUGAGAAUGGUCAGCCACACUGGGACUAGGAAGCGGCCGGGACUCCUACGGGAGGGAGCAGUGGGGGAUAUUGGAACAUGGGGGGAAGGAUGAACCACCUAGGACGGGUGAGUGAUGAAGGCCGUAGAGUUGUAAAGCUCUUGUAACCAGGAUGAUAAUGACGGUACCGAGAGAAUAAGCUCCGGCUAACUCCGUG